GGAGUUAGCCGGUGCUUCUUCUGUGAGUGAUGUCCUUCCUGCCGGCUAUUAACCCGCAGGCCUUCUUCCUCACUGAAAGUGCUUUACAACCCGAAGGCCUUCUUCACACACGCGGCAUGGCUGGAUCAGGGUUGCCCCCAUUGUCCAAUAUUCCCCACUGCUGCCUCCCGUAGGAGUCUGGGCCGUGUCUCAGUCCCAGUGUGGCUGAUCAUCAUCUCAGACCAGCUACGGAUCGUCGCCUUGGUGAGCCGUUACCUCACCAACCAGCUAAUCCGACAUAGGCUCAUCCGAUAGCGCGAGGCCCGAAGGUCCCCCGCUUUCCCCCGUAGGGCGUAUGCGGUAUUAGCCUGGGUUUCCCCAGGUUAUCCCCCGACUACCGGGCAGAUUCCUAUGCAUUACUCACCCGUCCGCCGCUCGCCACCAGGGAGCAAGCUCCCCGUGCUGCCGCUCGACUUGCAUGUGUUAGGCCUGCCGCCAGCGUUCAAUCUGAACCAGAAUCAAACUCUGA
Molecule: ribosomal RNA, 508 nt
Filed under: uncultured bacterium
Lineage: Bacteria
Description: partial 16S ribosomal RNA
Source: RNAcentral